AUGAGUAGUUCGGAUCGCAACACUUAGGAAAUUAAUUACUCCCUCCAAGCUUCGUCGAUAGUUUGUGUUCUUUGGACUUUUCAAACUUAGAGAACGAAACAUCUGAGUAGCUAAAGGAAGAGAAAUCAACUGAGACCUCGUUAGUAGCGGCAAGCGAGAGCGGAUUGGGGAUUUGAAGAAAAACAAACACGAAUCAAAUCCAAAAACUCCAAGAGCUUUAGCGAUAUAUUACAUUACCUCGUGUGAACUACUUUUUCGCCAUGUUUCAUUCGAUUUCUUGUGCAUUGGAUGAUGGAAAGUCAGGAAGCUACAAAAAUCUUGAAAGCCACUUACGCCUAUUUAUUAGGCUACAGGGGGCAGGGAACUGUAAUUGUGAAAAGUUUGAAGUUAUGGCCAAAGAAGGUGAUAGCCUUGUAGAUUCGUUCCCAUGGUUUGAUCAUUCCCAAUAAAAUGAUGCGUAUACGAAUUCUGGCCGCUUUUACGCAAGAAAUUGGGACCACCCUCUAAGCCUAAGUAUUCCUCGAUGACCAAUAGUGUACAAGUACCGUGAGGGAAAGGUGAAAGAACCCUAUUUAGGGAGUGUAAUAAAUAACUUGAGAU
Spinacia oleracea (spinach) is the source of this 600-nucleotide non-coding RNA. The record is from Rfam. Lineage: Eukaryota; Viridiplantae; Streptophyta; Magnoliopsida; Caryophyllales; Amaranthaceae.